Molecule: ribosomal RNA, 253 nt
Filed under: uncultured bacterium
Lineage: Bacteria
Description: partial 16S ribosomal RNA
Rfam family: Bacterial small subunit ribosomal RNA
Source: RNAcentral
UACGCAGGGUGCGAGCGUUGUCCGGAAUUAUUGGGCGUAAAGGGCUCGUAGGCGGUUCGUCACGUCGGGAGUGAAAACUCGGGGCUUAACCCCGAGCCUGCUUCCGAUACGGGCAGACUAGAGGUAGGCAGGGGAGAGCGGAACUCCUGGUGUAGCGGUGGAAUGCGCAGAUAUCAGGAAGAACACCCGUGGCUAAGGCGGCUCUCUAGUACGGUACUGACGCUGAGACGCGAAAGCGUGGGGAGCGAACAGG